GUCUUUGUCUGUCUCUCUCUGUCUCUGUCUGUCUCUGUCUGUCUCUCUCUGUCUCUCUCUGUCUCUGUCUCUGUCUCUCUCUCUCUGUCUUGUGCUUGUGGAUCAGGUUCAGGUUCUCAGCUGCUGUCCCAGCUCCGUGCCUGCCUGUCUGCUGAUGUGUUCCCUGCCAUGAUGGCCAUGGCCGCUAACCCUCUGGAACCAAACGCUCCCAAAUCAAUGCUUUCUUUUUUAUAAGUUACCCUGGUGUUUUGCCACUGCAAUAGAAAAGUAAGCGGGACACAAGGUCUCCCUGCUCUGUAGACCAGGCUGGCCUUGAACUCACAGAGAUCCACUUGCCUCCAACUCCUGGGUGCUGGGAUCAAAGGCGUGCGCCACCACACCCAGCUUCAUUCUAAGGAUGAGAAAACCAACUUGAAAACCUCUAGCAGGCUGUCUGGUCCCAUGCUGGGGGUUUAAUCUAGCUGUCUUCACACACUGUGUCCCUGAUUCCUGAGUCCCCCUGUCCCUAAGCAGGACCGCACAUGCAUCCCUGCCUCUGUAAGUGUGGUCCACUCCUAUUGAUAAAGUGUAGGUGAGGGGGGGGCUAUUGUCAGCCCUGAUUUGACAGUGACAGUGCAGUUUGGGGGACCCCCUGCAAGAGUGGCCCUCCUGUUCUCUGUGGGGCUAUUCUCGGGCUCCCUGCCCUCUCGAACUUUCCCUCCAAUCCAAAGGAUGUCAGACCUCUUAUCUCACUGGGUGUGCACCUCCUUGGGGCUCUGUAAGGACAUUCUGGCCUCACAGAGGUUGGUGACUCAGCCAGGGUCCCCAGAGAAGUCCGACAGGGCAGGGGUCCCAUUUGGACCACUUGUCGCGGUCCUCACGGCCACCACACACCCUCCAUCUGGCAUGGGAGUGGGGCUAAGGAGUGGGGGUGACUUUCUCGGAUGGUCCAUCCCAAGUGCACAGAGAGACGCUCCGGGGCUCCAGCCCUGCCCACAGCUCAGAGCGAGCUGCUUGUGGUCACUCGCUUCCUUACCACGAGCUCAGGAUGUUGAAACUCUCUGAUGGUAGUAGAUGUUCCUUCUUGCUCCACAGUCCCGGGUUGGGUGUUGGGCGUGGAAGCCUGUACGUGGACCCGUUGUUGGAGUGCUGAACCAGGAGCCUCGGAUGAAAAUCGCUCAGAGCAGUAUUGUUCACUCUGGAAGAAUCCGGAGCCUGCCCCAGUACCCAUCAGCGGCGGAGAGGAUGAAUGAGCUGUGGCUAUGGUCAUGUGGUGAAAUGUUAGACAGCGGUCAAAAACGAGUGUCCCCGCCUAACAUGCCACAGUGGGAUGGAUCUGGCAACAGGAAACCAAGAUGAAAAGGUCCCAAGGGAUGGUUUGCUGCAUGACACUUUUGAAUAAGGUUAAAAACCCUGAAUAUGAAAUCUUAAUUUUAUGGAAUUCAUAUGCAUGUAAUUAAGUUAUAUGAAGUGUUAAGUAAGGGAAUGUGGGCCUGGGAUUAAGACAGCCGUUACUACAGAUGGAGCCCAGGGCAGAGUUAGAGACGGGCUGGAGUGAAGGAUGGGCCGUUGUUCUGGGUGAUGGGUUUAUGAACUUUCAUUACAUGAGUUGACCAAUGUAACUAAACAGUGCCAACAGAAGCGGGCAGGGCCCAGACCAUUAAUAGGAUUGCCAUGGACCAAGGAGUCUGUAAACCUGGGAUCCAAACUGAAAACCCAAACCAAAGGAAAGGCACAGAGAAGGCUCUUAUGCCAUCCCCCUAAGAAGACAACUGGAAAAAAAAUAUAUGUGAUGGGAAGUAAGCACUUGGCAGCCAGACUCUGGGAAAGGACAUUGCCACUUUGCUUUGCUUUAAGACAGAGUCCUGUGUGGCCCAGGCUGGCCUCGAACUCACUGCAUAGCCAUGGACGACCUUGGUUCUGGAAGACAGGCAUGUAGUGCCGAGGCCUGUACUUUGGCUUCCCACACACUAACAUGCCCAGCCACCCUCAUAAGAGUUAUAGCUGUCCCUCGCUUGGUUCCAGGAUCUCUCAAGUACUUCGGAUACUCGAGUCUCUUAAAGAAAAUGGCACAGCAUUCACAUAUGUCUUACACAAUUCCUCCCAUAUACUUUGAAUUAUCUCUAGAUUACUUAUAAUAAUACGCAGUUGUUAUGAUGUCAA
Long non-coding RNA from Mesocricetus auratus (golden hamster), 2142 nucleotides. RefSeq lists it as uncharacterized. The record is from RefSeq and is a predicted model, not a curated record. NCBI's taxonomy places the organism in Eukaryota, Metazoa, Chordata, Mammalia, Rodentia, Cricetidae. The transcript is spliced from 2 exons.